Molecule: ribosomal RNA, 253 nt
Filed under: uncultured bacterium
Lineage: Bacteria
Description: partial 16S ribosomal RNA
Rfam family: Bacterial small subunit ribosomal RNA
Source: RNAcentral
UACGGAGGGUGCAAGCAUUAAUCGGAUUUAUUGGGCGUAAAGGGCGCGUAGGUGGGCGAGUAAGUUAGAUGUGAAAUCCCGGGGCUCAACCCCGGAACUGCAUUUAAGACUGCUUGUCUUGAGGGUAAACGGAGAAAACGGAAUUCCACAUGUAGCGGUGAAAUGCGUAGAUAUGUGGAAGAACACCAGUGGCGAAGGCGGUUUUCUAGUUUUCACCUGACGCUGAGGCGCGAAAGCAAGGGGAGCAAACAGG